This 519-nucleotide ribosomal RNA is filed under the name uncultured eukaryote. Its description in RNAcentral is "SSU rRNA". It matches the Rfam family "Eukaryotic small subunit ribosomal RNA", at positions 1161 to 1699 of the family's 1831-position model. The record is from RNAcentral.
AGGGCACCACCAGGAGUGGAGCCUGCGGCUUAAUUUGACUCAACACGGGAAAACUCACCCGGCCCGGACACUGGAAGGAUUGACAGAUUGAGAGCUCUUUCUUGAUUCAGUGGGUGGUGGUGCAUGGCCGUUCUUAGUUGGUGGAGUGAUUUGUCUGGUUAAUUCCGAUAACGAACGAGACUCUAGCCUACUAAAUAGAUCGUCGGCUUACAAACGCCGACGAGACUUCUUAGAGGGACAGGCGGCGAUUCAGCCGCACGAAACAGAGCAAUAACAGGUCUGUGAUGCCCUUAGAUGUCCGGGGCCGCACGCGCGCUACACUGAAGUGAUCAGCGUGCUUUUUCAACCUACUCUGUCAAGAGUGGGGAACCCAAUGAACCUUCUUCGUGAUUGGGAUAGGGGAUUGUAAUUAUUCCCCUUGAACGAGGAAUUCCCAGUAAGCGCGUGUCAUAAGCUCGCGUUGAUUACGUCCCUGCCCUUUGUACACACCGCCCGUCGCUACUACCGAUUGAAUGUUUU